GCUCCCGUGGUUCAGUGGUAGAAUUCGUCCUUGGUAAGGACGAGAUCGCGAGUUCGAUUCUCGCCGGGAGCU
This 72-nucleotide transfer RNA is filed under the name archaeon GW2011_AR10. Its description in RNAcentral is "tRNA-Thr". It matches the Rfam family "tRNA". From Rfam's summary of the family: Transfer RNA (tRNA) molecules are approximately 80 nucleotides in length. Their secondary structure includes four short double-helical elements and three loops (D, anti-codon, and T loops). Further hydrogen bonds mediate the characteristic L-shaped molecular structure. tRNAs have two regions of fundamental functional importance: the anti-codon, which is responsible for specific mRNA codon recognition, and the 3' end, to which the tRNAs corresponding amino acid is attached (by aminoacyl-tRNA synthetases). tRNAs cope with the degeneracy of the genetic code in two manners: having more than one tRNA (with a specific anti-codon) for a particular amino acid; and 'wobble' base-pairing, i.e. permitting non-standard base-pairing at the 3rd anti-codon position. RNAcentral also lists the same sequence under 1 other name. The record is from RNAcentral.